GACGAACGCUGGCGGCGUGCUUAACACAUGCAAGUCGAACGGAAAGGCCCUGCUUUUGUGGGGCGCUCGAGUGGCGAACGGGUGAGUAACACGUGAGUAACCUGCCCUUGACUUUGGGAUAACUUCAGGAAACUGGGGCUAAUACCGGAUAGGAGCUCCUGCUGCAUGGUGGGGGUUGGAAAGUUUCGGCGGUUGGGGAUGGACUCGCGGCUUAUCAGCUUGUUGGUGGGGUAGUGGCUUACCAAGGCUUUGACGGGUAGCCGGCCUGAGAGGGUGACCGGCCACAUUGGGACUGAGAUACGGCCCAGACUCCUACGGGAGGCAGCAGUGGGGAAUAUUGCACAAUGGGCGGAAGCCUGAUGCAGCAACGCCGCGUGCGGGAUGACGGCCUUCGGGUUGUAAACCGCUUUCGCCUGUGACGAAGCGUGAGUGACGGUGAUGGGUAAAGAAGCACCGGCUAACUACGUGCCAGCAGCCGCGGUGAUACGUAGGGUGCGAGCGUUGUCCGGAUUUAUUGGGCGUAAAGGGCUCGUAGGUGGUUGAUCGCGUCGGAAGUGUAAUCUUGGGGCUUAACCCUGAGCGUGCUUUCGAUACGGGUUGACUUGAGGAAGGUAGGGGAGAAUGGAAUUCCUGGUGGAGCGGUGGAAUGCGCAGAUAUCAGGAGGAACACCAGUGGCGAAGGCGGUUCUCUGGGCCUUUCCUGACGCUGAGGAGCGAAAGCGUGGGGAGCGAACAGGCUUAGAUACCCUGGUAGUCCACGCUGUAAACGGUGGGUACUAGGUGUGGGGUCCAUUCCACGGGUUCCGUGCCGUAGCUAACGCUUUAAGUACCCCGCCUGGGGAGUACGGCCGCAAGGCUAAAACUCAAAGGAAUUGACGGGGCCCCGCACAAGCGGCGGAGCAUGCGGAUUAAUUCGAUGCAACGCGUAGAACCUUACCUGGGUUUGACAUGGAUCGGGAGUGCUCAGAGAUGGGUGUGCCUCUUUUGGGGUCGGUUCACAGGUGGUGCAUGGCUGUCGUCAGCUCGUGUCGUGAGAUGUUGGGUUAAGUCCCGCAACGAGCGCAACCCUUGUUCACUGUUGCCAGCACGUUAUGGUGGGGACUCAGUGGAGACCGCCGGGGUCAACUCGGAGGAAGGUGGGGAUGACGUCAAGUCAUCAUGCCCCUUAUGUCCAGGGCUUCACGCAUGCUACAAUGGCUGGUACAGAGAGUGGCGAGCCUGUGAGGGUGAGCGAAUCUCGGAAAGCCGGUCUCAGUUCGGAUUGGGGUCUGCAACUCGACCUCAUGAAGUCGGAGUCGCUAGUAAUCGCAGAUCAGCAACGCUGCGGUGAAUACGUUCCCGGGGCU
Molecule: ribosomal RNA, 1346 nt
Filed under: uncultured bacterium
Lineage: Bacteria
Description: partial 16S ribosomal RNA
Rfam family: Bacterial small subunit ribosomal RNA
Source: RNAcentral